UACGUAGGGGGCAAGCGUUGUCCGGAAUCAUUGGGCGUAAAGAGCGUGUAGGCGGCCAGAUAAGUCCGCUGUGAAAUCUCGAGGCUCAACUUCGAGCUGUCGGUGGAAACUGUCUGGCUAGAGUCCGGAAGAGGAGAAUGGAAUUCCUGGUGUAGCGGUGAAAUGCGCAGAUAUCAGGAGGAACACCAGCGGCGAAGGCGGCGCUCUGGGCCGGUACUGACACUGAGGAGCGAAAGCGUGGGGAUCAAACAGG
RNAcentral lists this ribosomal RNA (253 nucleotides) under uncultured bacterium. Its description in RNAcentral is "partial 16S ribosomal RNA". It matches the Rfam family "Bacterial small subunit ribosomal RNA", at positions 524 to 776 of the family's 1533-position model. The record is from RNAcentral.